CGGGGGGCAGGUGGGGGGAUCCUGCUGGCUGUGUGGGGCCCUGGCUGUGUAAUCUCCUCACUGAGAAGUGUCAGUGAGGCCCGAAUCUCACACGCUCCGUUGUCUCCUUUGGGUCUCACAGGAGCUCAUUGAGGAGCUGCCUGAUAACUCUCCACCCGGCGCCGUCCUCGCUAACUCCCUGAUUGCUGUGGGCAACUUCAGCACCAUGACACCUGCUGUGGAGCCAGAGCUGGAGACCCACCUCCUUCGAGCUGCCCUGCACGCCGUCUUCACCCUGGGCAUGGAGAAGGACACCGCCCAAGUGCAGGAUCUGCCUAGGGUCUUGCCAGCCCUCCUGGACACCAUGCUGGGGAACCUGCUGGCAGAGUCCCCAGACACCGACAGGCUCCAGUACAUCUUGGAGGUGAGCCCGAUGAGAGGGGUGGGGGCAAUUUUACCUUCACUCUUAGAUCCAU
Molecule: non-coding RNA, 455 nt
Organism: Chrysemys picta bellii (western painted turtle)
Lineage: Eukaryota; Metazoa; Chordata; Testudines; Emydidae
Source: RefSeq, a predicted model, not a curated record